This is a non-coding RNA of Paramuricea clavata, 249 nucleotides long. Lineage: Eukaryota; Metazoa; Cnidaria; Anthozoa; Malacalcyonacea; Plexauridae. The record is from the annotation of a GenBank genome assembly.
GAUGUCGAAUAUCGACGUCAUAAACACCAAAGUUGUUCGUGUUUAUGACGUCGAAUAUCGACGUCAUAAACACCAAAGUUGAUCAUGUUUAUGACGUCGAAUAUCGACGUCAUAAACACCAAACUUGUUCGUGUUUAUGACGUCGAAUAUCGACGUCAUAAACACCAAAGUUGAUCGUGUUUAUGACGUCGAAUAUCGACGUCAUAAACACCAAAUUUGUUCGUGUUUAUGACGUCGAAUAUCGACGUC